GACGAACCGUGCAAACGUUGUUCGGAAUCACUGGGCUUAAAGGGCGCGUAGGCGGGCUCGCCAGUCUGUGGUGAAAGCCCCCGGCUUAACCGGGGAAGUGCCGUGGAUACUGCGAUCCUCGAGGAGGGUAGGGGCAUCUGGAACAGCCGGUGGAGCGGUGAAAUGCGUUGAUAUCGGCUGGAACUCCGGUGGCGAAGGCGAGGUGCUGGACCCUUUCUGACGCUGAGGCGCGAAAGCCAGGGGAGCAAACGGG
This 253-nucleotide ribosomal RNA is filed under the name uncultured bacterium. RNAcentral describes it as "partial 16S ribosomal RNA". It matches the Rfam family "Bacterial small subunit ribosomal RNA", at positions 524 to 776 of the family's 1533-position model. The record is from RNAcentral.